This 88-nucleotide transfer RNA is filed under the name Candidatus Aminicenantota bacterium. RNAcentral describes it as "tRNA-Leu". It matches the Rfam family "tRNA". From Rfam's summary of the family: Transfer RNA (tRNA) molecules are approximately 80 nucleotides in length. Their secondary structure includes four short double-helical elements and three loops (D, anti-codon, and T loops). Lineage: Bacteria; Candidatus Aminicenantota. The record is from RNAcentral.
GCCGAAGUGGCGGAACUGGUAGACGCGCUGCCUUGAGGGGGCAGUGGGGAACUUCCCUGUGGGGGUUCGAGUCCCCCCUUCGGCACCA